CAAUCGAACCCGGAGAUAGCUGGUUCUCCUCGAAAUAGCUUUAGGGCUAGCCUCGCAUUAGUUUACCGGAGGUAGAGCACUGAAUGGUCUAGGGGGCCUCACCGCCUACCGAAACCUAUCAAACUGCGAAUGCCGGAUAAAUGAUGUGCGGGAGUCAGGCCGCGAGAGAUAAGUUCCGCGGUCAAAAGGGGAACACCCCAGAUCGUCUGCUAAGGUCCCCAAGUACGCGUUAAGUGGGAAAGGAUGUUGGAUUGCACAGACAACCAGGAUGUUGGCUUAGAAGCAGCCACACAUUCAAAGAGUGCGUAAUAGCUCACUGGUCGAGUGAUCCAGCGCCGAAAAUGUAACGGGGCUAAAACGCGACACCGAAGCAGCGGGAUGCGUAAGCAUCGGUAGAGGAGCAUUGUGUGAGGGUUGAAGCCAGAGCGGGAGCACUGGUGGACUUCACAGAAGAGAGAAUGCCGGUAUGAGUAGCGAGACCCAUGCGAGAAACAUGGGCGUCGAAGGCCCAAGGUUUCCUGGGGAAGGUUCAUCCACCCAGGGUAAGUCGGGACCUAAGCCGAGGACUGAGGUCGUAGGCGAUGGACAGCAGGUAGAGAUUCCUGCACCACUUAUACUUGUUUGACGAAGCAGUGACACAGAAGGAUAGGACGAGCGCGGUGAUGGUCAACCGCGUAGGCGGCACGAGGCCGGGAAGCAGUGAAGUACACUUCCCGCAAAGGCUGAGUGUUGACAGGACCGAAAAGAAGUAGGGAAGCGUCCGAGUUCACGCUGGCGAGAAAAGCUGCUAAGGAGAGUGUGAGUGCCCGUACCGGAAACCGACGCAGGUGGGCGAGGAGAGAAUCCUGAGACGGACGGGAGAACUCUUGUUAAGGAACUCGGCAAAAUGACCCCGUAACUUCGGGAGAAGGGGUGCCUCGAAAGAGGCCGCAGAGAAUAGUCACAAGCGACUGUUUAGCAAAAACACAGGUAUCUGCGAAAGCGAGAGCUGACGUAUAGGUGCUGACACCUGCCCGGUGCUGGAAGGUUAAGGGAACAUGUUAGAGCAAUCGAAGCAUCGAACCGAAGCCCCAGUAAACGGCGGCCGUAACUAUAACGGUCCUAAGGUAGCGAAAUUCCUUGUCGGGUAAGUUCCGACCCGCACGAAUGGCGUAACGACUUGUGAGCUGUCUCAACAGGAGGCCCGGUGAAAUUGAAGUAUGUGUGAAGAUGCACAUUACCCGCGACUGGACGGAAAGACCCCGUAGAGCUUUACUGUAACCUGACAUUGGAUCUUGAUAACGGAUGCACAGGAUAGGUGGGACGCUGGGAGACGAGGACUUUGGUUUUCGUGGAGCGGCCGUUGGGAUACCACUCUUCUGUUAUUGAGAUUCUAACCUCAAGCCGUGAGCCGGAUGAGAGACAGUGUCAGGCGGACAGUUUGACUGGGGCGGUCGCCUCCGAAAGAGUAACGGAGGCGCCCAAAGGUACCCUCAGAAUGGAUGGAAACCAUUCGAAGAGAGCAAAGUCAGAAGGGUGCUUGACUGCGAGACCAACAAGUCGAGCAGGUACGAAAGUAGGGCUUAGUGAUCCGGCGGUAAGAGAGUGGAAUUGCCGUCGCUCAACGGAUAAAAGCUACCUCGGGGAUAACAGGCUGAUCUCCCCCAAGAGUUCACAUCGACGGGGAGGUUUGGCAC
RNAcentral lists this ribosomal RNA (1676 nucleotides) under human gut metagenome. RNAcentral describes it as "bacterial LSU rRNA". It matches the Rfam family "Bacterial large subunit ribosomal RNA", at positions 830 to 2524 of the family's 2925-position model. The record is from RNAcentral.